GAUGAACGCUGGCGGUGUGCUUAACACAUGCAAGUCGAACGGCAACGCCCUGCUUUCGUGGGCUGCCCGAUUGGCGAUCGGGUGCGUAACACGUGUGUAACCUGCUCUUGUCUUUGGGAUAACUUCAGGUAACUGGGGCUACUCCCGUAUAGCAUCCCCCCUUCCAUGGUGGGCGUUGGAUCUUCUCGGCGGUCGGGGUUGGACUCGCGGCUUACCAGCUUGUUGGUGGGGUAGUGGCUUACCAAGGCUUUGACGGGUAGCCGGCCUGUGAGGGUGACCGGGCACAAUGGGACUAAGAGACGGCGCAGACUGGUACAGGAGACAGCAGGGGGGAAUAUUGCACAGUGGGCGGAAGCGUGAGACAGCAACGCCGCGGGCGGGAUGACGGCCUUCGGGUUGUAAACCGCUUUCGCCUGUGACGAAGCGUGAGUGACGGUAAUGGGUGAAGAAGCACCGGCUAACUACGUA
RNAcentral lists this ribosomal RNA (468 nucleotides) under uncultured bacterium. RNAcentral describes it as "partial 16S ribosomal RNA". It matches the Rfam family "Bacterial small subunit ribosomal RNA", at positions 28 to 507 of the family's 1533-position model. The record is from RNAcentral.